RNAcentral lists this unclassified non-coding RNA (2674 nucleotides) under Hevea brasiliensis (rubber tree). Lineage: Eukaryota; Viridiplantae; Streptophyta; Magnoliopsida; Malpighiales; Euphorbiaceae. The record is from RNAcentral.
CUUAGAAUUUACCUCCUAAACUCGUUAUCAUAUAUGCCAAAAAUGCGUCAAGAAUUUCAAAAUCGCGCACAAGCAAGUUUGAAAGAACUAAAUUUCUGAUGCCCACGUGAUACUCUCUCUAAUCACCCAAUAGGAGAAUGAGCAAUUAUUCCUAUAAAAGACCAGACAAUCCUUUGAAAUGAAAUCUUGAAAGCUUAAACCCACCAAAAAGCAGAGAGCUUUGGCUUCUUUUAACCUUUCCAACGCAGAUAAUAACCAUAUUUAAAGCAGCCUUAAGUGUAACAUAUAUAAGAGGCUUUUGAGCAGGUUAAGCUUUUUCCUGGGAAAAAGAGAGAUACAGAGAGAGAAGAAAAGUUACACUACUCUUUAUCAGAUACCUUGGGCGUCUCCUUUUCCAAUACUUUCUUUUUCUUUGAAAAUCAGCUUUCUUCAGGCAUACAUUGGCAUUAAGCAAGAAUUUCUUCGUGCAAAAUGGGCAAGAUGCAUUUGCUUGCCGGGUCUGGCUGGCUUGCUAUCGUUCUUUGGUUCUUCUUCUUCUUCCUCAUUGCCUCCUCCGCGAAGACCCCGUUUAGAAAAAUUCUAAGGACGACUAAUAACAGCUCGGCUCUUGGAGUUCAGCUAGAAGUAACCAAACGUCAGAGAGUGGUGAUUGACAAUGGAAUUGUCCAAGUUACUUUCUCUAGGCCAGGCGGCGACGUCAUCGGAAUUAAAUACAAAGAAAUCGAUAACGUACUCGAAAUCGCUAAUGAAGAUGAUAAUCGAGGAUAUUGGGACGUGGUUUGGAACCGACCUGGAGAUCCCAUCAUCUAUGACAAGCUGCAAGGGACGGAUUUUAGUGUCAUAAUGGAAAAUGAAGACCAAGUAGAGGUUUCAUUCUCCAAAAGAUGGAGCCCUUCCAUGGGUAAAUCCACAGUUCCCUUGAACGUAGACAAAAGGUAUAUAGUUCGGCGUGGAAGCUCAGGGCUUUAUCUGUAUACCAUAUUGGAACGCUUAGAAGGAUGGCCUGAUGUUGAUAUGGAUCAAAUUAGAGUGGUUUUCAAGCUUCAAAAUAAGAAGUUUCACUUCAUGGCAGUAUCUGAUGAUAGGCAAAGGGUAAUGCCAACGCCUGAAGAUCGCGCCACUGGUCAGCCUCUGGCCUACCCUGAAGCUGUUCUCUUAACCAGUCCUAUCAACUCAGAACUUAGAGGAGAGGUAGAUGACAAAUACCAAUACUCCUGUGAGGCCAAAGACAACAAGGUGCACGGGUGGAUAUCGGAAGACCCACCAGUGGGAUUUUGGAUGAUCACACCCAGUAAUGAAUUUCGCGUUGGUGGGCCCAUCAAGCAAGACCUGACCUCUCAUGUGGGGCCUACUGUCCUUAAUAUGUUUACUAGCACUCAUUAUGCUGGGAAGGACUUAAAUACAGAGUAUCGAAAUGGAGAGCCAUGGAAGAAAGUUCUUGGCCCUGCUUAUGUCUAUCUUAAUUCUAUUUCGCCUUCUGAAGAUACCCAAGCUCUUUGGGAAGAUGCUAAAGAACAGAUGUCAACUGAAGUUAGAAGCUGGCCAUACAAUUUUCCUCAAUCUGAAGAUUUCCCUUCUUCUCAUCGACGGGGGCAUGUUUUAGGUCAAUUAAUAGUUCGUGACCGAUACAUCAGUGAAAGGUUAAUGUAUGCAAGUUCUGCUUAUGUGGGAUUGGCAGCCCCAGGGGAUGUGGGCUCAUGGCAAACUGAAGCAAAGGGUUAUCAAUUUUGGACUCAAGCUGACAGGAAAGGAAAUUUCUCAAUAAAAAAUGUCAGAGCUGGGAAUUAUAGUUUGUAUGCAUGGGUUCCUGGUAUCAUUGGGGAUUACAAGUAUAGUGUUAAUAUCACUAUUCAACAAGGAUCUAAGAUCAAAUUGGGUGUCCUCAUAUAUGAUCCUCCAAGAACUGGUCCAACUCUUUGGGAAAUAGGCGUUCCUGAUCGUACUGCUUCUGAGUUCUAUGUACCAGACACAUACCCAACACUCAUGAACAAAUUGUACACUGAUCACCCAACCGACAAAUUUAGGCAAUAUGGAUUGUGGGAAAGAUAUGCUGAUUUAUAUCCUAAGAACGAUGUCAUAUAUAACGUUGGUGUUAGUAAUCAUAUUCAAGAUUGGUUCUUUGCCCACGUUACCAGAGGGAUAGGAAACAAGACAUAUGAGGCAACAACAUGGCAGAUCAUAUUUGAACUUGAAAGUGUAAACCAAAGUGGAAAUUACACUCUCCAAGUAGCCUUGGCAUCAGCUACUAUGUCCGAACUUCAGGUGCGUGUCAACGAUGCCGAUGCCAAUCGACCCCUUUUCACAACAGGGCUAAUAGGCAAGGAUAACGCCAUUGCAAGACAUGGAAUUCAUGGUUUAUAUCGGUUCUAUAGCAUUCAAGUACCAAGUUCUCAACUUCUCCAAGGAAACAAUAUAAUUUAUCUUGCUCAGACGAGAAGUAAUAGCCCCUUCUUUGGCAUUAUGUAUGAUUACAUUCGCUUAGAAUCACCAACAGAAACUUGAAGAUGGGUUGGAAAAUAUUUAUUUAGAAAUGUUUAUUCUUUUUAUUUUUCAAGUAUAGAUAAUAAUAUUAAUAGAAAUUAAUUUUUUUUCUUGGUUAAUGCAUGACUGCGUCAUCUUGUCCAUGACCAUGAGCAUUUUUAAUCUUGAUCUUUGUUAUUCAAUUUUUUUUUUU